ACCAACAGGGAUUCCCCUAGUAACGGCGAGUGAAGCGGGAACAGCUCAAAUUUGAAAUCUGGCCCUCGGGUCCGAGUUGUAAUUUGUAGAGGAUGCUUUUGGUGCGGUGCCUUCCGAGUUCCCUGGAACGGGACGCCUUAGAGGGUGAGAGCCCCGUACGGUUGGACGCCUAGCCUCUGUAAAGCUCCUUCGACGAGUCGAGUAGUUUGGGAAUGCUGCUCUAAAUGGGAGGUAUAUUUCUUCUAAAGCUAAAUACUGGCCAGAGACCGAUAGCGCACAAGUAGAGUGAUCGAAAGAUGAAAAGCACUUUGAAAAGAGGGUUAAAUAGCACGUGAAAUUGUUGAAAGGGAAGCGUUUAUCACCAGACUUUUUCUAGGGGGAUCAUCCGGUGUUCUCACCGGUGCACUUCCCCUAGUUGAGGCCAGCAUCGGUUUUCGGAGGGGGAUAAAAGUUUCGGGAAUGUGACUCCCCCGGGAGUGUUAUAGCCCGUUACAUAAUACCCUUCUGGGGACCGAGGUUCGCGCAUCUGCAAGGAUGCUGGCAUAAUGGUGAUCAACGACCCGUCUUGAAACACGGACCAAGGAGUCGAACAUUUAUGCGAGUGUUUGGGUGUCAAACCCUCACGCGUAAUGAAAGUGAACGGAGGUGAGAGCCCUUACGGGUGCAUCAUCGACCGAUCCUGAUGUCUUCGGAUGGAUUUGAGUAAGAGCAUAACUGUUCGGACCCGAAAGAUGGUGAACUAUGCGUGGAUAGGGUGAAGCCAGGAGAAAUCCUGGUGGAGGCUCGCAGCGGUUCUGACGUGCAAAUCGAUCGUCAAAUCUGCGCAUGGGGGGCGAMAGACUAAUCGAACC
This 851-nucleotide ribosomal RNA is filed under the name Nigrospora oryzae. RNAcentral's name for it is "partial large subunit ribosomal RNA". The record is from RNAcentral. Lineage: Eukaryota; Fungi; Ascomycota; Sordariomycetes; Amphisphaeriales; Apiosporaceae.